UGGCUGCUCACCUUACUCAUUUGAACCAUUUCGGUUACCCAAUCGCGCGUCUUCUUGAACCCCGCCGCUCGCAGCACCGACAGCCGCCGCGGGAGCCGGACAAUACCCCAGGCCCGCCUCGCGCUGCCGCGACCAAUGGCUGCUCACCUUACUCAUUUGAACCAUUUCGGUUACCCAAUCGCGCGUCUUCUUCUAGCUAGAACCCCGCCCCCACGGCACCGCCUCUCUAACGGCUGUUUGUUUUUGCACACGGCACGUAGAGGUGGGGUUUCCAACCCCAACACUGACGCGCUUUCGGCUUCUCUCCACGCGCCGAGCUUGACGAACAGGAGGACCGACCAAUGGGGGCGGAAAAGAGCCAAUGAAAACAUCGCCCGCGAGAAAGGGAGGCAUGUUCGUGUUGUGACGGCUGGACCGCCACACCCCUGCAGUUGUAAUCAGAAGGGAACAGACAGAUGAGAUCACGCUGCCUGCAGAGUCGCCUUCCUGGGCGAGGUUGUCAGUGGGUGUCCAUGGCCAGGAGGCCAGAAGCUGCAGUGCAGGGACAUUCCACCCCGGUGACAGCAGCCGGUCUCUGCAUGCUGCUUCCUGCCGCUGUCCCGGGCACUUCCCUCUUCACGGUGUUCACAUGUGCUCUGAACACGGCAUGCCUCG
Molecule: long non-coding RNA, 654 nt
Filed under: Fukomys damarensis (Damara mole-rat)
Lineage: Eukaryota; Metazoa; Chordata; Mammalia; Rodentia; Bathyergidae
Description: lncRNA (ENSFDAG00000031183.1)
Source: RNAcentral